AAGGCUUUAAGUUAAUUAAACUAAUAACCUUCAAAGCUAUAAAUAAAGAAGUGUUCUUUAAGCCUUA
RNAcentral lists this transfer RNA (67 nucleotides) under Episymploce sundaica. RNAcentral's name for it is "tRNA-Trp". Lineage: Eukaryota; Metazoa; Arthropoda; Insecta; Blattodea; Blattellidae. The record is from RNAcentral.